Molecule: long non-coding RNA, 211 nt
Filed under: Phaseolus vulgaris (common bean)
Lineage: Eukaryota; Viridiplantae; Streptophyta; Magnoliopsida; Fabales; Fabaceae
Description: long non-coding RNA (PVUL_LNC001709)
Source: RNAcentral
AGCAAGAAACACCAAAACUAUGCACCUCCGUAUCGGAGCACCGCGUAUGGCACUCGGAAGGUGGUAAAAAGGAAACUGUGUCUAGUGUCUAUUUCUCCUUCUAGCAAAAAUCCUUCCCUAGUCCCUUGUGCGUAACCUCAAGGCUCGAGCAAGCAACUAGAGAGUCUCUGGGAAAUUUGCCAAAAGUUCCAACUCUGUUUCCAACAUUCCC